RNAcentral lists this non-coding RNA (25 nucleotides) under Arabidopsis thaliana (thale cress). Lineage: Eukaryota; Viridiplantae; Streptophyta; Magnoliopsida; Brassicales; Brassicaceae. The record is from RNAcentral.
GAGGUCGCCGGUUCGAGUGACGCUU